RNAcentral lists this small RNA (145 nucleotides) under Flavobacterium noncentrifugens. RNAcentral describes it as "Flavo-1 RNA". The record is from RNAcentral. Lineage: Bacteria; Pseudomonadati; Bacteroidota; Flavobacteriia; Flavobacteriales; Flavobacteriaceae.
GUUUGGCCGCGGAUAGCAGUGGAAAGCUUCGAAGCUUGAAAAGCUGUUUUUUGCUGCGCUGGCAGAGCGACCAACGGAAGCUCCUGGCGGCGGAUGUAAAAAAAGCUUUUCAGGCUAGAACUUGCAACGGAUAGCCGGCAACUGG